This 775-nucleotide ribosomal RNA is filed under the name uncultured Neocallimastigales. Its description in RNAcentral is "partial large subunit ribosomal RNA". It matches the Rfam family "Eukaryotic large subunit ribosomal RNA", at positions 26 to 629 of the family's 3401-position model. The record is from RNAcentral. Lineage: Eukaryota; Fungi; Neocallimastigomycota; Neocallimastigomycetes; Neocallimastigales.
CGCAUCUGUGCAUGCAGCAUAUCAAUAAGCGGAGGAAAAGAAACUAACAAGGAUUCCCUUAGUAACGGCGAGUGAAGCGGGAAGAGCUCAAAUUUGAAAUCUUCAAGGUUUUACCUUGACGAAUUGUAGUUUAAAGAAGUGUUUUCUGUUGAAGUUUUGGUAAAAGUUCUUUGGAAUAGGACAUCAUAGAGGGUGAGAAUCCCGUAUUUGACCAUUAUUUUCAGCUGUGUGAUACACUUUCAAAGAGUCGGAUUGUUUGGGAAUGCAGUCCAAAAUGGGUGGUAAAUUUCAUCUAAAGCUAAAUAUUGGCGAGAGACCGAUAGCGAACAAGUACCGUGAGGGAAAGAUGAAAAGAACUUUGAAAAGAGAGUUAAACAGUACGUGAAAUUGUCAAAAGGGAAGCGUUUGACACCAGUGUUGUUUUCUCGAAAAUCAAUUAAAAAGAGUUUAGAUUUUGUUGUGUAUUGACCUUAACAGCUUGCAUUUCAAUUUUCUUGCUUUUUUUAAUGCACUUUUCGUUUAACAAGUCAACAUCAGUUUCUUUUGUUGUAAAAAGGUCAUUGGAAGGUGGCUUUCUUUUCGGAGAAAGUGUUUAUAGCCUUUGACUCCUGCAAUCGGAGAGACUGAGGUCUGCAGUGUAGAUCCUUCGGGGUUAGAUACAUUUGUGCUAAGUUAUAGCUUUUUAUAGACAACUUGUUGACUAUGAUUAGUCUUGUAGCUUACUCGCUUAUGCUAUUUUACCUACGCUUAGGAUGUUGAUGUGAUACUGCGAGCA